Non-coding RNA from Bactrocera oleae (olive fruit fly), 770 nucleotides. Lineage: Eukaryota; Metazoa; Arthropoda; Insecta; Diptera; Tephritidae. The record is from RefSeq and is a predicted model, not a curated record.
CGUGACUUUACGAAUUGAGAUCAAUAAUAUUGAACAUCUGUGAAAUAUAUUUUGGAAAAUAUAUUAUUUAUUUUAAAGAAAUUAACACAGAUUAUCACAGAUCUUAGUAAGAUUUGCUGGGCUAUCCUUAAAAAUAUACCAAAUUCGUAGAAUGUUUUGUCAGCAUACUUUGGACUUCAUGGAUGGAUGUGUAUGGAUUAGUCGCGAACACUUGCCACAUAUUGGUGCACAAAACAAAGAAAACGUUUUGAAGUGAGUGGUGACAAUUAUCAAUUGGUCCAACGCCUACAACGUACAAAUGGACUCACGUGGAAAAUUUAAUUAAUUACAAACUCAAACAAAUUUGCAUAAGGUUAUAUUUUUAUUGAUGGUAACUUCGAAAGCUGACAGCGGUGAAAUCUAAAAUUACAGCGGCGGUUUUGAAAAACGUAAAUAUGUAAGGUUUCCUAAAUAAAAUGUAUUUAGAAAUGUUGAGAAAUAUAUCAAAGCAUAGAUAUACUUCAAGCAGUGUCGAAUCGAAGGUAGCUUAUUAAAAACAAUUUUGAUUUCCAAAUCUAUUCAAAAACAAGAAAAAACUUGAACUUCCAAAGCUAUAAUACACUUCACAAAUAAAAAAUGUUCCAUACAAGAACUUGAAUUUGAUCGGUGAGCUAGUACGGCUGCUAUACGCUAUACUGGACCGAUCUGAACCAUUUCUUCGGGGAUAACGUUAUUUUAGAUAAUGAUCCAUGUAGUAAUCUUGCCAAAUAAAAGAGUUUUCAUAUAAGAAA